Camelus dromedarius (Arabian camel) is the source of this 281-nucleotide long non-coding RNA. RefSeq lists it as uncharacterized. NCBI's taxonomy places the organism in Eukaryota, Metazoa, Chordata, Mammalia, Artiodactyla, Camelidae. The transcript has 2 exons. The record is from RefSeq and is a predicted model, not a curated record.
UUUCUUAUCAGAAGAAAACAUGCCGAGAGGAGAGGGGAGGACCUUAGUAUGAAAACAUUCCUGCGCAACUCACACUUGGGAAAGAACACCAUCAUUUUGAGAUUUGUAUUUUAUUUACAAGUAAAUGAAGAAAGUCUCCUAUAACCUCUAAUUUGGGGUGAGAAGGGCAAUAUAAAGAAGUAGCUGCUGGCUCCACAGUGCUGUGUGAAAGCCGUCCCUGCCACUGUUUCUUUAAAUGAUGAUUUUCUUAUUUAAAAAAAAAAAAAAGAACCCACGUAAUU